UACAGAGGGGGCAAGCGUUGUUCGGAAUUACUGGGCGUAAAGGGCGCGUAGGCGGCCUGCUAAGUCGAACGUGAAAUCCCCGGGCUCAACCCGGGAACUGCGUCCGAUACUGGCAGGCUUGAGUUUGGGAGAGGGAUGCGGAAUUCCAGGUGUAGCGGUGAAAUGCGUAGAUAUCUGGAGGAACACCGGUGGCGAAGGCGGCAUUCUGGACCAUAACUGACACUGAGAGACGAAAGCCAGGGGAGCAAACGGG
This 253-nucleotide ribosomal RNA is filed under the name uncultured bacterium. RNAcentral describes it as "partial 16S ribosomal RNA". It matches the Rfam family "Bacterial small subunit ribosomal RNA", at positions 524 to 776 of the family's 1533-position model. The record is from RNAcentral.